UUAACACAUAUUAGGUCAUAUGAAUAAAACCGAGUACUUGCUCAUGCUCAACCCGAUUUGAACGAAGUAAAGUCUCUGAGCAUUUACUCAAAACGGUAUGAAUAAAACGAUACUUUGCUCAGAGUAAGUUCGAAUUUCGAACUUAGCAUUUACUCUAUCAAAAAUGUUGUUUUGUUUUGACCCGCGAGGAAAAAGAAUCCUUGCGGUGGAACAAUUUAGUGCCUUUGUGGAUCUUUUCCGUCUUUUUUGUUGUUGCCGGCUGCUGGAGUCAUACACAAAAACGGGAAAACACAACCGGGGAGAAUUUAUAGCCAUCCUGUGCCACCUGUGGGGGUACAAACGGUAUACCAAAUGCUGCAGUGUGACGAUAACUGAUUCGUCCGCGCAUCGAUCCUACCUUGCUCCGCAUAAGCCACCGAUGAAUGUAAUCGGUCCGUACGCAACUCUCCCAUCGAUGGGUAGAGAGCCAACAGGUGUCACAAGUUUAAUAAGCAACACGAGUCCCAGCGGCGCAGCAACAUCAAAAAACGAAAGGGAAACCUCAGUAUUGAUAGCAGUUGUUUGACCAGUAGUGAAGAAGGAUCCAUGGGACAAAGCAAUGGGCCCGUAUUCAACGUUGAAAUGCCGUAGAGUCCUGAUUGAAAUAAUAAACCAAAUAUGCUGCAAAACUUGA
Long non-coding RNA from Aedes aegypti (yellow fever mosquito), 673 nucleotides. RefSeq lists it as uncharacterized. The record is from RefSeq and is a predicted model, not a curated record. Lineage: Eukaryota; Metazoa; Arthropoda; Insecta; Diptera; Culicidae. The transcript has 2 exons.